AGCUUUGCGCAGUGGCAGUAUCGUAGCCAAUGAGGUUUAUCCGAGGCGCGAUUAUUGCUAAUUGAAACUUUGAAGUGGUAUAUAGGUCUUAAGUGCUAUUGAUGAUAUUCGACACCGAACUGUUGGAUGAUCUCACCUAGUGGAU
Small nuclear RNA from Thamnophis elegans (Western terrestrial garter snake), 145 nucleotides. RefSeq annotates it as U4 spliceosomal RNA. NCBI's taxonomy places the organism in Eukaryota, Metazoa, Chordata, Lepidosauria, Squamata, Natricidae. The record is from RefSeq and is a predicted model, not a curated record. The transcript has a single exon.